GACGAACGCUGGCGGCGUGCUUAACACAUGCAAGUCGAACGGAAAGGCCCUGCUUUUGUGGGGUGCUCGGGUGGCGAACGGGUGAGUAACACGUGAGUAACCUGCCCUUGACUUUGGGAUAACUUCAGGAAACUGGGGCUAAUACCGGAUAGGAGCUCCUGCUGCAUGGUGGGGGUUGGAAAGUUUCGGCGGUUGGGGAUGGACUCGCGGCUUAUCAGCUUGUUGGUGGGGUAGUGGCUUACCAAGGCUUUGACGGGUAGCCGGCCUGAGAGGGUGACCGGCCACAUUGGGACUGGGAAACGGCCCAGGCUCAUUCGGGGGGCAGCGGUGGGGAAUAUUGCACAAUGGGCGGAGGCCGGAUGGAGGAACGCCGCGUGCGGGAGGACGGCCUUCGGGUUAGAAACGGAUUUCGCCUGUGACGAGGCGUGCGUGAGGGAAAUGGAUAAAGAGGCACGGGCAACUUAGGG
Molecule: ribosomal RNA, 467 nt
Filed under: uncultured bacterium
Lineage: Bacteria
Description: partial 16S ribosomal RNA
Rfam family: Bacterial small subunit ribosomal RNA
Source: RNAcentral